GCCAGGUGCGGUGUGCAUGCCUGUAAUCCCAGCCACUUGGGAGGCUGAGGCAGGAGGAUCACAAGCUCAAGGCCAAACUCAGCAACUUAGUGAGGCCUUGAGCAACACAGUGAGAUCCUGUCUCAA
Molecule: small RNA, 126 nt
Filed under: Marmota monax (woodchuck)
Lineage: Eukaryota; Metazoa; Chordata; Mammalia; Rodentia; Sciuridae
Source: RNAcentral